RNAcentral lists this ribosomal RNA (255 nucleotides) under uncultured bacterium. RNAcentral describes it as "partial 16S ribosomal RNA". It matches the Rfam family "Bacterial small subunit ribosomal RNA", at positions 524 to 776 of the family's 1533-position model. The record is from RNAcentral.
UACGUAGGGAGCAAGCGUUGUUCGGAUUUACUGGGCGUAAAGGGCGCGUAGGCGGCAUAUUAAGUCAUCUAUGAAAAUCUCCGAGCUUAACUCGGAACUGUCAGCUGAUACUGAUGUGCUAGAGUGCGGAAGGGGCAAUCGGAAUUCUUGGUGUAGCGGUGAAAUGCGUAGAUAUCAAGAGGAACACCUGAGGUGAAGACGGGUUGCUGGGCCGACACUGACGCUGAGUGCGCGAAAGCCAGGGGAGCAAACGGG